CUUCAUUUUAUUAUUAUUCUAACUCUUUUAUUUUUGUUCAUUUUCAUUUUUGGAUGAUUUUUUGGGUGUCCUCGUAUGAGGAAUUUUAUCCAACCCGAGAAUCAUUCUGAGUCGAUUUCUGAUAAGCGAAAUUUUUAAAAAAGCGAAACACAAGUGUUAAAAUUUCAUGACUUUUCAAUUUCUAGGUACUUCUAAAUAAAGUUGGAAUCUUGAACUUUUGGAUAGUUUUGGGUUGUAUUUCACAUGCAUCUAGAUAAUUUCGUGUUUUCUCUCAAAAUUAAUCGAUUUUAUUUGCAUCCUCAAAUUAUUUUUGAACUGGGUUUCUCUUAUUUUUCUUCUUUUUGUUAUUUUGUUGACUUUUUGAUUUCUUGAUGCUUCUGAAUAAAGUUGGAAUCUUGAACUUUUGAAUAGUUGUGGGAUGAAUUUCACAUGCAUCUAGAUAGUAAUUUAGGUGUCUUGCUAUAGCCAUCUUUUCAGCAACAUUUUUUAGGUAACAAGUAUUUCAUGGCUUAGCACUUAUAAAAGUGUUAAAAUUGUGAAUACUUUGAGAGAGUGUAUUGGGCAUGUAUUUUUCUCAUGUUUUGUUAUUCAAUAUAUUUUGAAAAAUUUUCUCUAACAAAAUAGUUACAAGGAAAAUAAGAUUAUAACUUAAUUCCAAAGUUGUAGAAGUGACAUUUCAUGUUGGCUGUCCUCCCCCACCCCCCCCCAACCCCCCCAACCCCAUAGUGUUUGCGUAAGAUUAUAUAUAAAUGUUCUUAGAACGAUAUUUUUCUUAUUCACCAAACACUAUUAAGUAAGAAAAUUAUUAGUUUCGAAAGAAAAUAUUUUUCAUGAAAAAUAUUUUCUUCGAACCAAACAUUCCUGAUAAUAAGUGCUUUUCAAGAACCUGAGACUAUCCGAGUUUAUAUGCUUUUCUUUAGUGGGAUAGCAUUGCUUGAUGCUGAAUUUCCCCCUCGAAGCACUGGGAAACCUAGCAUUGACUAUGAUCCCCUAUAAAGUAAAGUAACUGAUGCCCGAUAAUGCACUUAGUGUUUGUAAGAAGAUAAAACUUGUGAACAAAAAUAUAUUUCUGGAUCUUGAAGUGCUGUGUGGAAUGAUGCAUCAUUAACGGGCUAUUUUCGUUCCAUGAGAUCUAGACGUCCACCUAGUUUUGAGAACCAUGACAUACUAGCUUUUGAGACUUCUUGUGAGUUAAAGAAUGCCACUUUUUCCCUAAAUAUCUAAAAUUGUGAAAUGUUAAGUAAAAGGGAUUUGAGGCUCUUAUUUGAUUUUUCUUUUCCUUCUUUUGCUUGUAAUAUUUGAUAAUUGUAAUUAGUACUAUUCUUUAAAAUGUUUGACCAGUAGUGUUUGUUGAACAUUCAGUCACAAGAAGUUUGUAAUCACUGUUCUAGCAAUCCAAUGAUUUAGAAUUCAUAGAUAUAUACUGAUCACAGUGUUCCAUCCGGCAAGUGAGACUAUCCUUUGAGUUCAGUUGCUAUUCAUUAUUUUUGUACUUCGAUUAUCGCAUUAUUUUAUUGAAGUUACUGUUCGGAUUGAUUUGUCUUGUUUUCCAUAGUAUUUAUGACAUGGCUUUUUCCACUUCCAUUAUUUCCUUUUCCCCUACUGCUUUAGACUGUUCUUUCCUUGAGCUGAAGGUAUUCGGAAACUACCUCUCUACCUCCAAAUUAGAGGUAAGGUCUAUGAAUGCUCCACCCUCCCUGGACCCGACUUUGUAGGAUUAAACUGCGUAUGUUGUUGUUGCCUUCAGCAAAUUGAAAUCUUUCCUCUAAAUAAUUGGUAAUAUAUAUUUCCUGGACACUGAAGUUUGAAGUUAUUGAUGUCUACUUGGUUAUCUUCCAGCAGAGUAGGUGUGUCCAACAAAAAACUGUUAGUAUGAUAUAAAGUAUCUAUUCCAUGACCAUUUUUUUUGUUAAGCUAUCAUCUUAGAGUACUCUAGUUAUCUAUUGCAGUUUUUGUUAAUGAAGUGGAUGUAUUGCAUGUUCUAUACGAAAAACUAAGCUGCUCCAUAAUUGAUGAUGGACCUCCAUUUCAGAUUCUAUUUCAGUUAUGGAAACAAGCCCCUGUUCCUAUCUGUUGAGUAGUCGAUGGGCCAUUAUGUUCCCUUGUCUUUCUCCGCUCCUUCUUUUUUGACAUAUGCGGCAGCUGGUAGUAGAUGGCCCUUUACUUUCGUCUGUCUUUAUCGUAUUAAGCCCUCUAAUCUAGCAUUCCUAUAAUUAAGCUGAGCAUCAUAUCACUUAUUCAUACAUAGACUUUAGACUUUUGGACUUACAAGAGAUAAAAGUAUAGUUUUUUGGGUUUCUUCUUCUGAUUCUUUUCUUUUCCCCAUAAUCUGAUAUCCUGAAGAUGCAUGAUGAUGAUAAUAUAUAUAGAGACAUUUGAUGAUUCAAAUUUUGAAAGCUAAUUAAUUUCGCGUGACAAUUUUUAGCUUUGAAUGUUCAUUCUUAUUUUUUCAGAGGCCCCAUCUUGGUUGUAUUCAGUCUAAUCGGCCAUCUGAGGAACGGAGAAAUGUUGUUGCUGAUUAUGUUCAAGGGCUCAUCAUGAAGUGCUUUCCUUGUCAGCCUCCUCACCUUUAUAUCUGGUAAAUAUGGGCACCAUUAGACAAUAGGAAUCAAUGCAAAAACACAUCAAAUAAGCCUUGAGGCAUCAACGCUGCCUCAACAAUUCAGAUUUCUCUGUAUCACUGCAUCAACAAUUGUUUCAAUCUGUUGAUUUCGUGGUCUAAUAAGACUCAUGACGAUCAAAGAUUACGUCAACUUUUACGCUAGAUGAUGCCAGAUUCUUCAGCAGGUCAGUAGAGGUUGGUUAGAAUUUUCAUUAGCAUCGAAGAUUUUGGCUAAGAUAAACUUUAUAUGCUUCAACUCAGGCUCUUAGACUACAAAACCUUCCGAGUUAACUUCUUUGAGGUGAUUAAAUGUCACAUUUGUGAAACGUUCCACUUGAAGUGAUUCUGGGAUAGGAACAUCAUCGUAAAAGGUUGCCACCUAAAACAUUAACAAAGCACAACGUUUCGACUUUAUUAAAUAUAAAAAUGAGUAAGACAUACAAAGUCCACUAAUAAACUUCACAAAAUGUUUUGUCUAACAAGAAAACGGUGAUGAUCUCCUAUGCCUAAACAAUAAACAUUAUACUAACAGAAAGUUGCAAUUUAGUUUGAGCAUUUUCUUGUCUCCGCUAAGAAAACCACAAAUAACUUUAACAAUAGAGAAAGAAAAGAGUCAAAUCACUAAGAACUUGAAUAUCCAUAUACAACAAAUUUAGGGAGCUUCUUAUCAAGCAAAGAGCAGAUGGAAUCAACUCGAAUGGAUCAAAAUACAUACCAGAUAUGCAAAGACGUUUGACAGAAUGAAAAGCAAUAGAACUCGUUUCUAAAGAUGAGGACGUUUGACAGAAUUAAGAGUAAAAGGACUAGGAAUAGAGAAUAACAGAAGUCAGGACUUGUAUAAAUCAAAAGAUAUUGAGCACAGGUUGGUGGGAAGGUCGCACACCAAUAAAUCCAGUUGUUGUUGUUGCGAUUUGAGUUUUAUGUUAUUGCUUGAUAGAUGACUUUAUUUACAUUAACAGGUGUUUACUGAUAGAUUAGUCAAUGAUAUUUCACUUUUGUUUCAGUUGCUUGCUCUAUCGUUAACGUGUUAUUUUUGAGUCGCAACUAUCUUGUAGAGUGAAGCCGCUGAAACUGCUCAAGUUACGAGUUAUCAACUCUGUCAAGCUGAUGUUGGUAAUUGCUUCCUUAUAUUGCUUAUGGUGUACAACCCAAAUAUACUUGGUUCAUCCUCGUCGGCCAGCUGUUGGUGAAGAGGUGAAGAGGCUGAGCUCGGAGUUCUUGUGUUUAUUGGAAUACAUUUUUUCCUCCCUCAUUGGCUGUGCAUUCAGUCCAUGAACACAAGAGAUCCCCAAGAACUUAUGUCCUUAUGACUAAAUGAAAAUCAUAGUGAUUAGCGACAGAAAAUCUCAAGGCUCAAAUUGAUUCAAGCCCUUGUCAGCAACAUUUUGCAGGAAUUAAGGAAGUGGAAUAGAUAUAAGAACAACAACUUGUUGAUGAAGCUCAAUGAAUUUUGAAGUGGGAAAAUGAAAAUGUAUGUACUAUGUAGUGGAGGUGCUUGAAAAGAAGUGUUAAGUGGACUGCUGGUUUGGAGUGGUUAAAAAUGUAGCAAUGCAAUCAAUAAAAACAUGGAGUCAUCAUGAAUGAUUGACACAGUAUGGCAUGAGACGUCGUUCCAUGGUGUCCUCCCUCAGUUUCUUGAAUUGCCAAAGAUGGAUGGCAGCAACAAUCAUCUAGGUAGCACACAGAUUUCAGCUCUGGAGCUGCUUAGGACUGGAAUUGCUUCAAGAGGAUUAACUUCAUUCAUCUCCUCGCCGUCAACACCAGAUUUGAAUGCUUUAUACACUACAUCAGGGUUUCAUUUCAAGAAUUCAAGUUUAGUGGUGGUAGUACUCAUGAUCAUGCUUCUUUGUAUUUUAUAUUCUAUUGAUGUCUAAACCUCCCAUAUUUUUCAUUUUUUGUCCUUCAA
Long non-coding RNA from Capsicum annuum, 4508 nucleotides. RefSeq lists it as uncharacterized. Lineage: Eukaryota; Viridiplantae; Streptophyta; Magnoliopsida; Solanales; Solanaceae. The transcript has 7 exons. The record is from RefSeq and is a predicted model, not a curated record.